CCAACGGCUCUUUUCAGAGCCACCCAAAAGAUCUCUAAAAACAGCUG
Non-coding RNA from Erinaceus europaeus (western European hedgehog), 47 nucleotides. The record is from Rfam. NCBI's taxonomy places the organism in Eukaryota, Metazoa, Chordata, Mammalia, Eulipotyphla, Erinaceidae.